RNAcentral lists this long non-coding RNA (686 nucleotides) under Nicotiana benthamiana. Its description in RNAcentral is "long non-coding RNA (NBEN_LNC023788)". The record is from RNAcentral. Lineage: Eukaryota; Viridiplantae; Streptophyta; Magnoliopsida; Solanales; Solanaceae.
GCAACUUAUUUAUCACACCAGACUAUCAUCUUAUUGCAUUUUGUUCGCAAUUAAUGACAUUUAACUAAUAGGACCCACAAAUCAUGCAUUAUAAGAAUACGCAUAAGAAUUUAGAGAUAUGAUUGAAUUUUGGAAAAUAAAAAUAGCUCGCAUAACUUGGGGACUGGGGUGAGCUUACAUUAUGAAUUGAUAUGGACAGUGAUGAUUAAUAUAAUCAACUCAAAACUUGCAUGGAACUUACAUAUGUGAAUCAUCGGUUUUGAUUUCAGGUUAUUCGGGAUUAAUUUGGAAGACGUAAUAGCUAUUGUUGUAAUACCUAGCAUAGUUUCAUAUAUCAUCAAAGAUUUUUAAUACCAUACCGUUGAUUAUGAUAUACAACUUGCUCGAUCAUGCACUAAUAUGAUCACAAAAAGAAUAGCUAAAAAUAGAUCAUUCAAUCUCAACGAUCCAGUCCCUUUCAUCGGCGAUAACACCUCUUUGAAUCCCUAGUAAUCUUGAAUAAAAUUGCUUGCACGUUUGGUCUAAGCUUAUUUCAUACUCAAUCCUGCACCAGCAAAAACACAGCUAUUAAAUCUUUGAAUAUUGAGAAGGAAGGUGAAAAAAUGUGGAUAUCAAGUAACAAUAUAAUAAUUGUUAUGAAAUAGAAGAUUCUUACACUUCUAUUUAAGGUGAAUGUCUUUAAUGUA